Molecule: ribosomal RNA, 456 nt
Filed under: uncultured bacterium
Lineage: Bacteria
Description: bacterial SSU rRNA
Rfam family: Bacterial small subunit ribosomal RNA
Source: RNAcentral
GGGAGGCAGCAGUAAGGAAUAUUGGACAAUGGGUGAAAGCCUGAUCCAGCCAUCCCGCGUGAAGGAUGACGGUCCUAUGGAUUGUAAACUUCUUUUGUACAGGGAUAAACCUACUCUCGUGAGGGUAGCUGAAGGUACUGUACGAAUAAGCACCGGCUAACUCCGUGCCAGCAGCCGCGGUAAUACGGAGGGUGCAAGCGUUAUCCGGAUUUAUUGGGUUUAAAGGGUCCGUAGGCGGACCCGUAAGUCAGUGGUGAAAUCUCAUAGCUCAACUAUGAAACUGCCAUUGAUACUGCGGGUCUUGAGUAAAUUUGAAGUGGCUGGAAUAAGUAGUGUAGCGGUGAAAUGCAUAGAUAUUACUUAGAACACCAAUUGCGAAGGCAGGUCACUAAGAUUUAACUGACGCUGAUGGACGAAAGCGUGGGUAGCGAACAGGAUUAGAUACCCGAGUAGUCU